UUGCGGAGACAGGAUUU
RNAcentral lists this transfer RNA (17 nucleotides) under Eremocrinum albomarginatum. RNAcentral describes it as "partial tRNA-Met". The record is from RNAcentral. Lineage: Eukaryota; Viridiplantae; Streptophyta; Magnoliopsida; Asparagales; Amaryllidaceae.